Molecule: long non-coding RNA, 274 nt
Organism: Calidris pugnax (ruff)
Lineage: Eukaryota; Metazoa; Chordata; Aves; Charadriiformes; Scolopacidae
Exons: 3
Source: RefSeq, a predicted model, not a curated record
GCAGAGGGACUCAUCAAAGCACUAAAGUUGCUUUGAACCAGAAAUUGCAGCCAGAUGCGAUUGCAGUCUCCGUAUCCUCUUUUGAAGAUAAACCAUGCGGUUUUGAUGAAGAACAGAUGAAAUGGAAAUCGCAGUGAAAAAAAUACGGCAGCGAGGACCGUGCAGCCGCCUGCUCACUCCCCCCACGGGGAGAUGGGGGAGAGAAUCAGAAGAGGGAAAGUGAGAAAACUCAUGGGUAGAGCAAAAGCCGCGCACGCAAGCAAACAAAACAAGA